Molecule: long non-coding RNA, 1351 nt
Organism: Homo sapiens (human)
Lineage: Eukaryota; Metazoa; Chordata; Mammalia; Primates; Hominidae
Gene: MEG3
Product: maternally expressed 3
Source: Ensembl
GCAGACGGCGGAGAGCAGAGAGGGAGCGCGCCUUGGCUCGCUGGCCUUGGCGGCGGCUCCUCAGGAGAGCUGGGGCGCCCACGAGAGGAUCCCUCACCCGGGUCUCUCCUCAGGGAUGACAUCAUCCGUCCACCUCCUUGUCUUCAAGGACCACCUCCUCUCCAUGCUGAGCUGCUGCCAAGGGGCCUGCUGCCCAUCUACACCUCACGAGGGCACUAGGAGCACGGUUUCCUGGAUCCCACCAACAUACAAAGCAGCCACUCACUGACCCCCAGGACCAGGAUGGCAAAGGAUGAAGAGGACCGGAACUGACCAGCCAGCUGUCCCUCUUACCUAAAGACUUAAACCAAUGCCCUAGUGAGGGGGCAUUGGGCAUUAAGCCCUGACCUUUGCUAUGCUCAUACUUUGACUCUAUGAGUACUUUCCUAUAAGUCUUUGCUUGUGUUCACCUGCUAGCAAACUGGAGUGUUUCCCUCCCCAAGGGGGUGUCAGUCUUUGUCGACUGACUCUGUCAUCACCCUUAUGAUGUCCUGAAUGGAAGGAUCCCUUUGGGAAAUUCUCAGGAGGGGGACCUGGGCCAAGGGCUUGGCCAGCAUCCUGCUGGCAACUCCAAGGCCCUGGGUGGGCUUCUGGAAUGAGCAUGCUACUGAAUCACCAAAGGCACGCCCGACCUCUCUGAAGAUCUUCCUAUCCUUUUCUGGGGGAAUGGGGUCGAUGAGAGCAACCUCCUAGGGUUGUUGUGAGAAUUAAAUGAGAUAAAAGAGGCCUCAGGCAGGAUCUGGCAUAGAGGAGGUGAUCAGCAAAUGUUUGUUGAAAAGGUUUGACAGGUCAGUCCCUUCCCACCCCUCUUGCUUGUCUUACUUGUCUUAUUUAUUCUCCAACAGCACUCCAGGCAGCCCUUGUCCACGGGCUCUCCUUGCAUCAGCCAAGCUUCUUGAAAGGCCUGUCUACACUUGCUGUCUUCCUUCCUCACCUCCAAUUUCCUCUUCAACCCACUGCUUCCUGACUCGCUCUACUCCGUGGAAGCACGCUCACAAAGCAGGUUCCCAGUGCCCCCGACAAGCCCCUGCUGGUGUCUCCAUCUCCUGCCAAGCAUCCUCCAGUGCCUCCUCCUGUGGGCCUGGCCUCAGGGCUAUGGACAGACUCCUGUCCCAUCCCAGAGACCCCUCGUGAUCGUGCCCUGGCACGUGGGCCGUGGCCCGGCUGGGUCGGCUGAAGAACUGCGGAUGGAAGCUGCGGAAGAGGCCCUGAUGGGGCCCACCAUCCCGGACCCAAGUCUUCUUCCUGGCGGGCCUCUCGUCUCCUUCCUGGUUUGGGCGGAAGCCAUCACCUGGAUGCCUACGUGGGAAGG